Molecule: ribosomal RNA, 695 nt
Filed under: uncultured Nostocales cyanobacterium
Lineage: Bacteria; Bacillati; Cyanobacteriota; Cyanophyceae; Nostocales
Also listed under: 1 other name
Description: bacterial SSU rRNA
Rfam family: Bacterial small subunit ribosomal RNA
Source: RNAcentral
AGUGGCGGACGGGUGAGGAACACGUGAGAAUCUGCCUACAGGUUCGGGACAACAGUUGGAAACGACUGCUAAUACCGGAUAAGCCUUUGGGUGAAAGAUUAAUUGCCUGGAGAUGAGCUCGCGUCUGAUUAGCUAGUUGGUGGGGUAAAGGCCUACCAAGGCUGCGAUCAGUAGCUGGUCUGAGAGGAUGAUCAGCCACACUGGGACUGAGACACGGCCCAGACUCCUACGGGAGGCAGCAGUGGGGAAUUUUCCGCAAUGGGCGAAAGCCUGACGGAGCAAGACCGCGUGAGGGAGGAAGGCUCUUGGGUUGUAAACCUCUUUUCUCAGGGAAUAACAAUGAAGGUACCUGAGGAAUAAGCAUCGGCUAACUCCGUGCUAGCAGCCGCGGUAAUACGGAGGAUGCAAGCGUUAUCCGGAAUGAUUGGGCGUAAAGCGUCCGCAGGUGGUGAGCCAAGUCUGUUGUCAAAGCGUUAGGCUUAACCUAAUAAAGGCAGUGGAAACUGGCACACUAGAGUACGGUAGGGGUAGAGGGAAUUCCUGGUGUAGCGGUGAAAUGCGUAGAGAUCAGGAAGAACACCGGUGGCGAAAGCGCUCUGCUGGACCGAAACUGACACUGAGGGACGAAAGCUAGGGGAGCGAAUGGGAUUAGAUACCCCAGUAGUCCUAGCCGUAAACGAUGGAUACUAGGCGUU